RNAcentral lists this ribosomal RNA (1201 nucleotides) under Triticum aestivum (bread wheat). RNAcentral's name for it is "partial small subunit ribosomal RNA". The record is from RNAcentral. Lineage: Eukaryota; Viridiplantae; Streptophyta; Magnoliopsida; Poales; Poaceae.
UUUGGUCUACGGAGCGACCGCGAGGUCGCAACACCAAGGUGUGCGAUAGCUGUUGGGUUAUUAUAUUUCUUUGUAGGUAGGGGGUUGGGGCUGCUCGAGGAGGAGCCCUGCGCGGCGGAGACGGCCGACGCGGGUGGCGUCGCAAGUAAGACGUAGGUACGGGCCGCGGCCGUCGUUGGAGCGGCCUCUUGGUGGCGGGGUGGAGCGCGGGAGAAAGGAAAGCGAAAAUAAAAGGGGCAAAGUAGGGGGAGAGAGACAUGAGGGGGGGUGUCCUUGCCCGGCACCGGCGGAGUUCAUCCGGGGUUGACGACAGCGGCCAGAGAUACUUCUCGAGCGCGGUGGCCUAGACGCCGGACGCGACAGGGGUAAGGAUCUAAGGCACCUCAAGCGAGCGGUAGGGCACGGACGUGUGGGUUCGGCGACACGUGGGGAGGCGUCCGGUGGCGAAACGGGGCGGCACGUAGGGUCAAAAUUCAAGAAAGGGUCGGCCCCGAGCCUCAACCUACCAGUUCUUUCCUCCUGUACCUCGUUCCGCAAGAACCACCGGCGCGUGUGCCCCGUCCGCAAGUGCCGCCCAAGCGUGCGCGGCGUGUCCCUGUCCACGGCCAUUACCUCGUCGUCUUGCGUCCGCAGGGUGCCACCGCAGGCGCGGUAGUUCGAGGUCGUGGUUCGGUUCGGUGCAGACCGGGAGACAGCAGUAGACGUGCGUACGGUACCGUAGGCGCGGGAGUUCGAGGUCGUGGUCGGGGCGGAAGGAUGCGGCGCGGCGGCGGGCGCAAGGAGACGAGGCUGGCGCGGGCUGCGGGCACGGCCGCUGGUGAAGCCGGGAACGGUGCGGCCGCUGGUGGUUCUUGGGGCGGUGGAGGACCGGAGGCGAACGCUGCCUCCGGGCGCCCACACCCUCGGCAGUUGCCGGCGCUGGAGCUCACAGAGGUCGCCCUAUCCGCCACCGUCAUGCGACGCCGCCCCGACCCCGGUGAGCGCCGUCCCCCACCGCCGCGCGAACUCCACCUCUACGCUAACCCUCACAAAAAAAGAUAGCGAUCAUUGACAAGCCCAACUGGAACCUGACGCCCAACUAAGCAUAUUUGAAGUUCCCGAAAAUACGUUUUGUUGGUACUGCCUGCUGUCUUUGGGUUAAGAGAAAUAAUAAUCCAUUUCUAUUUCUAAAAAAGGCACAGGGAAAAAAGGACUUUUACAG